AGAGUUUGAUCAUGGCUCAGGAUGAACGCUGGCGGCGUGCUUAACACAUGCAAGUCGAACGGAGUAGGUAGCAAUACUUACUCAGUGGCGGACGGGUGAGUAACGCGUGAACAAUCUGCCUAUGUCAGGGGAAUAACACUAAGAAAUUGGUGCUAAUACCGCAUAAGACCACAGAGGGGCAUCCCUCAGGGGUAAAAGAUUUAUCGGACAUAGAUGAGUUCGCGUCCCAUUAGGUAGUUGGUGAGGUAACGGCCCACCAAGCCGACGAUGGGUAGCCGACCUGAGAGGGUGAUCGGCCACAUUGGGACUGAGACACGGCCCAGACUCCUACGGGAGGCAGCAGUGGGGGAUAUUGCACAAUGGGGGAAACCCUGAUGCAGCAACGCCGCGUGAAGGAAGAAGGUCUUCGGAUUGUAAACUUCUGUCCUCAGGGAAGAUAAUGACGGUACCCGAGGAGGAAGCUCCGG
Molecule: ribosomal RNA, 467 nt
Filed under: uncultured bacterium
Lineage: Bacteria
Description: bacterial SSU rRNA
Rfam family: Bacterial small subunit ribosomal RNA
Source: RNAcentral